This is a small nuclear RNA of Protopterus annectens (West African lungfish), 106 nucleotides long. Lineage: Eukaryota; Metazoa; Chordata; Ceratodontiformes; Protopteridae. The record is from RefSeq and is a predicted model, not a curated record.
CUGCUUGACAAGCUGCAGCACAGCUGAAAUUGGAAUGAUACAGAGUAUAUUAAUAUAAUCCCUACACAAGGAUGGCAUGUAAAUUUGGGAAGCAUUUUAUGUUUUU